This is a microRNA precursor of Chlorocebus sabaeus (green monkey), 97 nucleotides long. NCBI's taxonomy places the organism in Eukaryota, Metazoa, Chordata, Mammalia, Primates, Cercopithecidae. The record is from Ensembl.
AGGGACUUGCUGGAGAUGUGCCUGAGGGAGUAAGACACUAUCUUACAACAACAGGGCUCUUACUCCCUCAGGCACUGCACCAGCCAGCAAAGCAUCA